UCCAAGGUGGCAGAAAAGUGCAUUAGAUUUAAAAUCUAAAUAUAAGAUUAGUUAAAAACUAGCUUCUUUGGUC
Molecule: transfer RNA, 73 nt
Filed under: Chelopistes texanus
Lineage: Eukaryota; Metazoa; Arthropoda; Insecta; Psocodea; Philopteridae
Description: tRNA-Leu
Source: RNAcentral